RNAcentral lists this long non-coding RNA (318 nucleotides) under Chinchilla lanigera (long-tailed chinchilla). RNAcentral describes it as "lncRNA (ENSCLAG00000026908.1)". The record is from RNAcentral. Lineage: Eukaryota; Metazoa; Chordata; Mammalia; Rodentia; Chinchillidae.
GUCGAGCUUAUUCACGCAUGACUCAAGGGGUUCCCGGCAUCUUCUGAGGAUGCAAGCAGCCAUGGAAGGUCGGGCUGGAGCUGCCCCCGCUCCAGGGCCAGCUGGCCUGGAACCUGCGGACGACACCGAGUGGGAAGAACACAGAACACAGCACCCGGACAUGAAACCCUCCAUUCCAGUCGUCCCUAAAACAAGCUCUUCCUCUGCUGCUCCCCCUGGGGCAAGAAAAUCUCAAUCCUAUUGUUUUAACGUAGAGUUGAAUUUCUGUCUCUUACAGUGCAAAAGUCCUAACUAGUAAACUCAAUUUUUCUGUCUGUU